CCUACGGGAGGCAGCAGUAAGGAAUCUUCCACAAUGGACGAAAGUCUGAUGGAGCAACGCCGCGUGCAGGAUGAAGGCUUUCGGGUCGUAAACUGCUUUUAUAUGGGAAGAUUAUGACGGUACCAUAUGAAUAAGGACCGGCUAACUACGUGCCAGCAGCCGCGGUAAUACGUAGGGUCCAAGCGAUAUCCGGAAUUACUGGGCGUAAAGCGUAUGUAGGUGGAUUAAUAAGUGUGAUGCGAAAUCCGGCGGCUCAACCGUUUGGACUGUGUCGCAUACUGUUAGUCUAGAGGACGGCAGAGGUAAGUGGAAUUACGGGUGUAGCAGUGAAAUGCGUAGAUAUCCGUAGGAACACCAAUGGCGAAGGCAGCUUACUGGGCCACACCUGACACUGAGACACGAAAGCGUGGGGAGCGAACAGGAUUAGAUACCCUGGUAGUCCACGCCGUAAACGAUGCAUACUAUUAGUAUGGGGUAUCGACCCCCUGUGCUGAGAAGCUAACGCGAUAAGUAUGCCGCCGNGGAGUACGAGCGCGAGACUUAAACGUACGAAGAAGUAGUACGGCGUGAGACGUCGCCGACGGACGACGACGAGGGAGUUAGG
This 604-nucleotide ribosomal RNA is filed under the name uncultured bacterium. RNAcentral's name for it is "bacterial SSU rRNA". It matches the Rfam family "Bacterial small subunit ribosomal RNA", at positions 338 to 1415 of the family's 1533-position model. The record is from RNAcentral.